This 378-nucleotide ribosomal RNA is filed under the name Clostridioides difficile. RNAcentral describes it as "bacterial LSU rRNA". It matches the Rfam family "Bacterial large subunit ribosomal RNA", at positions 1958 to 2334 of the family's 2925-position model. Lineage: Bacteria; Bacillati; Bacillota; Clostridia; Peptostreptococcales; Peptostreptococcaceae. The record is from RNAcentral.
AGCGAACUUCCUUGUCGGGUAAGUUCCGCCCCGCACGAAAGGCGUAACGAUUUUGGCACUGUCUCAACAACAGACUCGGUGCAAUUGUAAUUCCGGUGAAGAUGCCUGAUACCUGCGACAGGACGGAAAGACCACAUGCAGCUUUACUGUAGCUUGACAUUGGGUCUUGGUACUACAUGUACAGGAUAGGUGGGAGGCUUUGAAUCCAGGACGCCAGUUUUGGCGGAGCCAUCCUUGGGAUACCACCCUUGGAGUACUGGGACUCUAACCAUAGGCCAUGACUCUGGUCUUGGGACACUGUCAGGUGGGCAGUUUGACUGUUUCGGUCUCUUCCGUGUCGGUAACUGUGGCGCGCAGCGGUAGUCUGUGUAGGGUCGG